AUUGAACGCUGGCGGCAGGCCUAACACAUGCAAGUCGAGCGGGAUUUACCUUCGGGUAAUGAGAGCGGCGGACGGGUGAGUAAUGCUUGGGAAUCUACCUAGUAGUGGGGGACAACAGUUGGAAACGACUGCUAAUACCGCAUACGCCCUACGGGGGAAAGGGGGGGAUCUUCGGACCUCUUGCUAUUAGAUGAGACCAAGUCGGAUUAGCUAGUUGGUGGGGUAAAGGCCUACCAAGGCGACGAUCCGUCGCUGGUUUGAGAGGAUGAUCAGCCACACUGGGACUGAGACACGGCCCAGACUCAUACGGGAUGCAGCAGUGGGGAAUAUUGGACAAUGGGCGCAAGCCUGAUCCAGCCAUGCCGCGUGUGUGAAGAAGGCCCUAGGGUUGUAAAGCACUUUAAGUAGGGAGGAAGGUCUGGUAAUUAAUACUUAUCAGGAUUGACGUUACCUACAGAAUAAGCACCGGCUAACUCCGUGCCAGCCGCCGCGGUAA
Molecule: ribosomal RNA, 496 nt
Filed under: uncultured bacterium
Lineage: Bacteria
Description: partial 16S ribosomal RNA
Rfam family: Bacterial small subunit ribosomal RNA
Source: RNAcentral